CGCGCCGGUCGGCGUAUCGCUCCUCUCUUCCAAAAGCGCCAGCUUUUGGAGGCGGUGAGGAAAGUCCGAACGCCACAGGGCGCCGUGCUUCCUAACGGGAAGGCGUUUGUGCUCGGAAGCGUGCUUUCGAGCAGAAGCGACGGCUCGUGCCACAGAAAGCAGACCGCCGAUGACCCGCACAAAUGGCAACGGUUCGCGGGUACAGGCAAGGGUGCAAGGGUGCGGUAAGAGCGCACCGGCGCCUGCGGCGACGCAGGCGGCCCGGCCAACCCCACGGGGCGCAAGGCCCAGCAGCGUUGCACCGGCCCCGCUCACUGCGAGCGGAACGCCGGAUGCCGCGGCCCGCCAAAACGCUGGUUUCCAGCGUUGCAACGCGGGUAGGCCGCUCGAGGCGACCGGCGACGGUCGUCCAUAGAUAGAUGAUCGCGCUCCCCGCACCCGGCGACUACGGCGGCGCCGGCGCGGGCAGACCGAAUUCGGCUUACAGACCGGCACGCCCC
RNAcentral lists this RNase P RNA (500 nucleotides) under Bacteroidetes bacterium QS_8_68_15. Its description in RNAcentral is "RNase P RNA component class A". It matches the Rfam family "Bacterial RNase P class A". Rfam says of the family: Ribonuclease P (RNase P) is a ubiquitous endoribonuclease, found in archaea, bacteria and eukarya as well as chloroplasts and mitochondria. Lineage: Bacteria; Pseudomonadati; Bacteroidota. The record is from RNAcentral.